This 253-nucleotide ribosomal RNA is filed under the name uncultured bacterium. Its description in RNAcentral is "partial 16S ribosomal RNA". It matches the Rfam family "Bacterial small subunit ribosomal RNA", at positions 524 to 776 of the family's 1533-position model. The record is from RNAcentral.
UACAGAGGGUGCAAGCGUUGUCCGGAUUUAUUGGGUGUAAAGGGUGCGUAGGCGGGACGAUAAGUCCGAGGUGAAAGCCCGCAGCUUAACUGCGGAACUGCCUUGGAUACUGUCGACCUUGAGUCCCGGAGGGGUGGCUGGAAUUCCUGGUGUAGCGGUGAAAUGCGUAGAUAUCGUAAGGAAGACCAGUGGCGAAGGCGGGUCUCUGGACAGUUCCUGACGCUGAGGCACGAAGGCCAGGGGAGCAAACGGG